Molecule: long non-coding RNA, 1297 nt
Filed under: Gallus gallus (chicken)
Lineage: Eukaryota; Metazoa; Chordata; Aves; Galliformes; Phasianidae
Description: lncRNA (ENSGALG00010011314.1)
Source: RNAcentral
CCCGGCUCGGGGAGCGGAGCCUGCCGGUACUCGUGCGGCCCUGCGGGGCUGUCCGUCUCCGGGUCGCUCCUUUGCAGCUCUUCCCGCUUCGGCUUUUCCUUCGUGUUCGCGCAGCGCUCUGUUGGCGGGGCUGGCGGACAAAGGGCGGUGUGGGAGCGGGGUUGUCGGGCUGAGCCUGGCGGGGCAGCUGCCUGAUGUGCGCCCGUCUGAGUCCUGUGCCGGGGAGAGCUGGGGAGAAAGGCGAGGCUUUGUGCUUUGGAGCCCCGUCCUGCGGCCUCGCUGGGCGGUGAGGGGCCCGUCCUGUGCUGGGGAGGGCGUGGGAGAGCACAGGGAGACCAGCGGCAGGGAGAGCUGCAGGGAGCAGCACGCCAGCACUGUUUCCUAGAACCUGUCGCUUACUGUGCAGGCUGAACAAAUGCCUAGUUUCACUGGGCCCAGGUGAGAACAUCUGAUUAGGAGUUCUCAUCUAAAUAAGGUAUGAAAUUCCCAACCAGCUCUCCAGUGAGGGCUGAAUACAUGUGAAGAGAGCAGCAAAAUGUGUGUACCUCCAUCGAAUCUCUGUAGGCAGCACAGUGCUUGGGAAAAGCUUUACCUGGUGUUCAUCAUGAGUAGGAGUCGUCCCCACCUGUGAAGCCUGGGUUCCUGAUGGAGAAGUUGCUGAUCCUCCUCACCUGUGUCAUCCAAGUGGUUUAGAGGAAUCAUGCCAUCGGACACAGAUCAGUAAUGCUUGUUGCUUGAUCCAACUGCUGUAUAGCUGAUGAAUUCAUGGAUUUAAGACAAAUAAUCCGUAUUUCAUUACUAGCAAGUGCUAGAAAUAAAAAUGUACUCUGCACUAUUGCUUGGAAAAACAAAUCCUGAAGUCGUAAGAGAGGAUUAAAGUUGAAAAAAAAUCUCUCAAGAGAAAAACGAAGGGAGUAAUGACAUCUGCUUAGCAGCAUCCAGCCCCUCAGCCUGCAGCACGGACCUCUGGAGCCCUUACACACGGAAUAAAAGGGGAUGCAGUGAGUGAGGAGCAGCAGAACUGCAAGCAGAGCAGCGCUACUGGUGUAAGAUGGCAUUAGGAAGAGUGGAGUUUUGUUAAUGGGUCAUGGAAACUGCUGCUCUGCAUGCCAUAAAACAGCAAUCCGAAGGGUUUGCUCUGAAAGCAUCUCUUUGUGCCCUGGGCCAGUGACCCCACUGCUGUGCCAGUGAAUCAUGGCAAGCUGGAGGAAUCUCCCUGAUUUCUGAGCUCCUAAUCCCGCAAAGCCUGUAAAUGAUGGCUGGCUUAGCUUUGUUUCUGAUAAAACGAGGCUUAUGA